Molecule: long non-coding RNA, 299 nt
Filed under: Triticum aestivum (bread wheat)
Lineage: Eukaryota; Viridiplantae; Streptophyta; Magnoliopsida; Poales; Poaceae
Description: long non-coding RNA (TAES_LNC007666)
Source: RNAcentral
CAAAUUCAGGCGCUGCACCUGCCAGAGGGAGUGCUAGGGCAGACGCUCCGCGCGGCGAGCUCCACCACCCCCGCCCGUCCAUGGCGCCGCCAGUCACCUAUGUAUCUUAACUACCAUGUACCCACUCGCCGCCUCUGUCGGGUGAUGUAAUAAAACGUGGCGCGCACCCGCCGGCGCGUCACCGGUGUACGUAGCAUGAUGCAUGCCACGCGUUGCUUCCAGUGAUAAAAUCAAUGGAUUACUCGUACGAUCUCUUGCGUGCUCGGUAGCAUGGAAAAAUAUCUCCACGAAAUUUCUCG